GAAAUAAUUACCUAUGUAUUAUUGCAGCGUCAUUGUACAGGUCAUGUUUGCAAGGUACCAGUGUGUGGUAUGUCCCACACAAUGUUCCUGACAGACAUUUUUGGUUUAUAUACCCCGGCAAUGUGUAAUGGUUACAUUAUGCUCUUUCGAUAGCAUGGGACUCCUAUAUUGCUUCUGAAGUCUUAAAUCCUUACCUUUUAUGAGACCUGGCAAUUCAAGGGAAAAGUUGUACAUUUUCUUUUGUAGCUGACAUGGACAUAUUCACUGGAGAGGCCAUCGAUGUUGUCAUCGGAUCCUCAAGAGAUGACGGAAAGGUGUAUGCUGGAUCCGGGCAAUGAAUAGAAAAGGCUGCUUGGGGGACAUUGUUGCGGUCUACGUCUGACUAUGUUCUGCCGUAUGGCGUCCACAACGUAUUGGAUGCCAGAUGAGCUUAAGAACAGAAGCGUGACCGGGACUUUGUCCAACAAGUCGCGAUCCAAGGGAAGGACUGAGGCCAGACCAGCCGUGACACCACAAAAGUUGUCAUCCUUGAAAAGCCUCCUCCGGAUCUUCAUGGGCAACCGUGUCAUGCCGGAAGACGAGAAAAAAAAAGAUUGAAAGAAGUGCGCAGGCAAUUGGUGCAGAAACUCGCUGACGCGCAAAGAAGGUAGUGCUACUGGUACUGAUUGCUACGGGGCUUGUCCCAAAAGUUUGUGCACUGAGCCAGCAAAAACGCGGCAGAGAAUGUAGUGACAUGAACUGCUCAAACUUCUGGGACAGACUUUGUAUAUUUACCUUACCAGCUUAGCACUUCUACCUUUCUUUGUGGAGUUAGUGCUUACCGUAUUUACUAAAAAAUAGGUCCAACAUGAGUAUAGGUCGACCACUAUAUAUUGAAUUAGUUGAGAAAUUUAGAAAAUUUUAGUUUGAAUUAAGUCAGCCAAUAUCUUUCUUUAGCAGUAGUAGUGUAAACUUAA
Long non-coding RNA from Dermacentor silvarum, 956 nucleotides. RefSeq lists it as uncharacterized. The record is from RefSeq and is a predicted model, not a curated record. NCBI's taxonomy places the organism in Eukaryota, Metazoa, Arthropoda, Arachnida, Ixodida, Ixodidae. The transcript is spliced from 3 exons.